RNAcentral lists this ribosomal RNA (497 nucleotides) under uncultured bacterium. RNAcentral describes it as "partial 16S ribosomal RNA". It matches the Rfam family "Bacterial small subunit ribosomal RNA", at positions 28 to 507 of the family's 1533-position model. The record is from RNAcentral.
GACGAACGCUGGCGGCGUGCCUAAUACAUGCAAGUUGAGCGAUGAAGAUUGGUGCUUGCACCAAUUUGAAGAGCAGCGAACGGGUGAGUAACGCGUGGGGAAUCUGCCUUUGAGCGGGGGACAACAUUUGGAAACGAAUGCUAAUACCGCAUAACAACUUUAAACAUAAGUUUUAAGUUUGAAAGAUGCAAUUGCAUCACUCAAAGAUGAUCCCGCGUUGUAUUAGCUAGUUGGUGAGGUAAAGGCUCACCAAGGCGAUGAUACAUAGCCGACCUGAGAGGGUGAUCGGCCACAUUGGGACUGAGACACGGCCCAAACUCCUACGGGAGGCAGCAGUAGGGAAUCUUCGGCAAUGGACGAAAGUCUGACCGAGCAACGCCGCGUGAGUGAAGAAGGUUUACGGAUCGUAAAACUCUGUUGGUAGAGAAGGACGUUGGUGAGAGUGGAAAGCUCAUCAAGUGACGGUAACUACCCAGAAAGGGACGGCUAACUACGUG